Oreochromis aureus is the source of this 383-nucleotide long non-coding RNA. RefSeq lists it as uncharacterized. The record is from RefSeq and is a predicted model, not a curated record. Lineage: Eukaryota; Metazoa; Chordata; Actinopteri; Cichliformes; Cichlidae. The transcript has 3 exons.
GAGCGGAGCGUGAGGAGGUCGGAGCGGAGCGUGAGGUCAAUGAAGGAAAUCUUGUAUAUCCACAGAUUGAUUCUAUAGAUACUAGAAUGAUGAAGAAAGUUGUCAAGGAACCUCCAGCACAAAGUAAAAAUGGAGCGGGUAAGGUCAUUGAACCCAACAGAAUACUAAACAAGGAGAUGAAGCCAAGCAGUAAGAAGAAAACAAAUAAACAAUCUGGUAAAUGGUGACAUGCAUACAAAAGUCACUUAAGCACAAAUGUAAACUUCAUGCAUUUUUGAACCCAGUUAUCCACACCACCCAAGCCAGUAUGGUGACUAUGCUCAUCUUUCUGCCAGGGACCGUACCAUAAUUCUACAACUUGGUUAGACAAUUAUAUUAACCUA